This 465-nucleotide ribosomal RNA is filed under the name Vreelandella stevensii. RNAcentral's name for it is "partial 16S ribosomal RNA". It matches the Rfam family "Bacterial small subunit ribosomal RNA", at positions 338 to 795 of the family's 1533-position model. The record is from RNAcentral. Lineage: Bacteria; Pseudomonadati; Pseudomonadota; Gammaproteobacteria; Oceanospirillales; Halomonadaceae.
CCUACGGGCGGCUGCAGUGGGGAAUAUUGGACAAUGGGCGAAAGCCUGAUCCAGCCAUGCCGCGUGUGUGAAGAAGGCCUUCGGGUUGUAAAGCACUUUCAGUGGGGAAGAAAGCCUUGGGUCUAAUACCCUCGAGGAAGGACAUCACCCACAGAAGAAGCACCGGCUAACUCCGUGCCAGCAGCCGCGGUAAUACGGAGGGUGCGAGCGUUAAUCGGAAUUACUGGGCGUAAAGCGCGCGUAGGCGGUCUGAUAAGCCGGUUGUGAAAGCCCCGGGCUCAACCUGGGAACGGCAUCCGGAACUGUCAGGCUAGAGUGCAGGAGAGGAAGGUAGAAUUCCCGGUGUAGCGGUGAAAUGCGUAGAGAUCGGGAGGAAUACCAGUGGCGAAGGCGGCCUUCUGGACUGACACUGACGCUGAGGUGCGAAAGCGUGGGUAGCAAACAGGAUUAGAUACCCGAGUAGUC